This 1134-nucleotide long non-coding RNA is filed under the name Heterocephalus glaber (naked mole-rat). RNAcentral describes it as "lncRNA (ENSHGLG00100040402.1)". The record is from RNAcentral. Lineage: Eukaryota; Metazoa; Chordata; Mammalia; Rodentia; Bathyergidae.
CCCCUUUGAUCACUGUGAAUGUAGGCAGCAUUUACCUAUCAGGGUUUCACUGAAUACCUGCUUGUGUCCUCCAGACACAGCUCUGAAAAAUCAGAAAAGGCCCUUGCCUCCCUGAGCUCAAAAGGCAGCCAGCAGCCACUAGGAGCUAAGAAUGGUGACUUGGACUGUGCUUAGAGAUAAGAAAAGGGCCUGGCUGGGGGCAGGGAGGGGACCUACUUUAGCUUCAGUCUCAGAAAAGCCUCCCUGAGGCGAUAAUGGAGCUGAGUAAGGUGAGGAGGUAAGCACGUGCUGCUCGGGGUGGGCCAGAAAGGGCCAAAGCAAAGACCUCGUGGCAAAAUGACGAGGCCCCAAAGCUAUGGGUGUGGCUGGAAUGGAAUGAAGGUCAGAGCUUCGGGAGGCUCCUACCACGAGGCUGAGGGCGGCUGGAAAGGCUGCUCUGCUGUUCCCCUGGCUAUGCCGGCGCCACGGUCCCAAUAAUCACCCUCGGGAGUCAGCCUUGGCUUCACGUCGGGAUCUCCCACUUAGACAUUUUAGGAAAGUUACUUAGUUUUCUCACGUUAAACCAGGUUUCUUCUGUGUAACGUCAGAUGAGAGGCGAUUAUUCCUUUUAUCCUUGGCCUCCGCAGCGGCCCGUCACAGAGCGAGCUCAGACUGUAAAAGACACGCAAUCUCUCAACCUCAGGAUGCCAGAAGCAGGGCAAGAGGAGUGAGUUCCCCAGGAGAAGCUGCUGCUAACUGAUGGGACUGUUGGCGGUGCCACUGCAGUGUCCCUGGUACCGUGAGGCCUCGGGCUUGGCCUGGAGUCUAAGUUGAUCUAGGCAUCCCGGCUCCUGCUCCAUCCCAGGACCCGAGCGCGGUGGCGACGUUUGUCAUCUCCACCCCGGCUCCGCCAGGAGACCCGCGCCCCUGGGCCGGAUCAAGAAGGUGGAGGCUGGGCCGAGGGGUGGGAGCCGUGGGAGCCGGCGGCAGCGCAGCCAGGCGACGCGGCUCGGGCUCCCGAAGGGGUAAGGAAGGCAGGCAGGAGAGGGGAAGACGUGGAGAGAGGAGCGGAACCGGGGCGCGCAGGAGGGCGACGCGUACCUGCCCGGCCCAACCCAGCAGCUCAACGGAAUCCCGAGCCCAGCGACUCGCGGG